UACAGAGGGUGCGAGCGUUGUCCGGAAUCACUGGGCGUAAAGGGCGCGUAGGCGGUCGCGUAAGCGUGUGGUGAAAGCCCGGGGCUCAACCCCGGGUCGGCCAUGCGAACUGCGGGACUGGAGCAGAUCAGAGGCAGGCGGAAUUCCGGGUGUAGCGGUGGAAUGCGUAGAGAUCCGGAAGAACACCGGUGGCUAAGGCGGCCUGCUGGGAUCUUGCUGACGCUGAAGCGCGACAGCGUGGGGAGCAAACAGG
Molecule: ribosomal RNA, 253 nt
Filed under: uncultured bacterium
Lineage: Bacteria
Description: partial 16S ribosomal RNA
Rfam family: Bacterial small subunit ribosomal RNA
Source: RNAcentral